AGCUGCAGCUCUGGGAAGUGCUGAGAAGGCAGAAGUGUCUGGCGGGAGGUGGACAUGGGCUGAGAGCCGAGGCCGUGUCAGGACGUGUGAUGCCCUCGGCACUGCUGCUGCCCAGUGAGACCCGAGUGGUGUCCCUUCUGCAGGACAGAGACAGACCCAGAGCAAGGAGGUGCCCAGUACAGAUCCAGGAGUGGGAAUGCGGGGACACGUUGGCAGGUGUGUGGACAUUGAUGAGAAGCUGACAGUACUUCCAGAGUGGCCGCACCAUUCUGCAUUCCCAGCAGCUGCGAUGUGAGUUCUCAACACGGGAUUGGUCAGCCUUUUAAAUGUCAUCCAUUCUAACAGGGACACACGGUGCUGUCUCACUGGGUUUUAAUGCAUAUUUGCCAUCCCUAAAUCCUCUUUGGCGAAGUGUCUCUUCAUGUCUUUUGUCUGUUUUCUAAUUGCUUUUUCCCCCUUAUUUUUGAGUUCUGAGAUAUCUUUAUACAUUCUGGAUACAAGUGUUCUUUGUCAGAUAUGUGACUCCCAAAUAUUGUCUCCAAGUCUAUAGCUUGUCUUUUCAUAUUAGCAGUGUCUUUCAGAGAGUAAACAUCUUACAUUUGGAUGAAGUCCAAUUUACCAAUUUUUUUUCUUUUGUGAGUCACGCUGAGGAUGUCAUGCUGCACAUUUUAAGUUUUGGAAAGAAACGGGAGGCAGCUGGUUGUUCCGACACCAAAGUCUUGUUCGAGGGGAACCUCCCUGCGUUGGGCAGACCCUGGCGGGGCCGUCCCGAGACCUGAGCUCCAGGAAACCUCCCUGCGUUGGGCAGACCCCGGCGGGGCCGUCCCGAGACCUGAGCUCCAGGAAACCUCCCUGCGUUGGGCAGACCCCGGCGGGGCCGUCCCGAGACCUGAGCUCCAGGAAACCUCCCUGCGUCGGGCAGACCCCGGUGGGGCCGUCCCGAGACCUGAGCUCCAGGAAACCUCCCUGCGUUGGGCAGACCCCGGUGGGACCGUCCCGAGACCUGAGCUCUAGGGAACCUCCCUGCGCUGGGCAGACCCCGGUGGGGCCGUCCUGAGACCUGAGCUCCAGGAAACCUCCCUGCGUUGGGCAGACCCCGGCGGGGCCGUCCCGAGACCUGAGCUCUAGGCCAGCCCUGCCCGAACCAGGCAGAAAAGGUCACCCAGGAGCUGAAGUGGACCAAAUACCAGGUUCUCUUUCAGUAAAAUAAGGGGUUUGACUCAAUAACUUAAAACAAUUUUUUGUCGUAAUCACUAGGUGAUUUUUAACAGCCCUUUCUGCGCGGGAGACGUGGAACACGUGGUGCUGCCUGAGCUCACGUGGCUCAACAUGCGCUGGCAGGGCCCUGUCUGGAGUAGCCACAGGCACAGGUGCCCAGGGUGGACAGAACAGCACACAGCAGCCGUCCAGGACGGAGACAAGACACUGACCCACACGGAGACGGAGGUGUGGGCAAGGCUCGGGCUCCUGCUACCAGGCAGAGGAGAAAGGAUACUGCGGCCCUCCCACCUCCAGAGGAAACCACGGAAAUAGCCACAGGGAGGCACAACAAAUGGAAAACGCCAAGACAGUUUUCACCCAAGAGCUGCCUAAAUAAGCCAGCCCAGCGAGGAUAAAAUAUAACUGCUGAAAUAUUAAUGGAUAUGGUUUAUUUAAUAAAUUAGAUAUAUAAUAUAUAUACACA
Non-coding RNA from Macaca mulatta (Rhesus monkey), 1684 nucleotides. NCBI's taxonomy places the organism in Eukaryota, Metazoa, Chordata, Mammalia, Primates, Cercopithecidae. The record is from RefSeq and is a predicted model, not a curated record.